AUGUACCCGGGUUCAUCCAUGCACUUCCCCCGUCUGCUAUUGACAGUGCUGAUGCCAGAACAGAAAAGAAAGAGAGAUGGUAGUUUCCAUGUGAGUUCUGACGCACACGAAGAAGCGAUUCAUCAUCAUCAGGGAGAGGUGAUGCAGCUUCACACAAAGUAUCACAUUCAACGACAGACUGUUAACUUAAGCUGUUACUCAAGAAUUGAUCCUGAUACAAGAUAUGAGAGAGGUGUUUUUAUUUCUUUGCGAAGAAAUAUGAGAGAGAUGUUGGUGCAACAUGUGAAUGUACAAAUCCUGAGACCAACAAUCGGAGAACUGAAAGGCAUAAACAUGGUUCAGCUAGGAUUUUAUUUGAAUGAUUCUUCGAUAAACAAGGAUCUGAAUGAGCUUGCAGCGUGGUGA
This 405-nucleotide ribosomal RNA is filed under the name Triticum aestivum (bread wheat). RNAcentral describes it as "partial small subunit ribosomal RNA". The record is from RNAcentral. Lineage: Eukaryota; Viridiplantae; Streptophyta; Magnoliopsida; Poales; Poaceae.